ACUUCUCCAGAAAGGGUUUCUCUAAUAACUUCCAUGCUUUUUUCAAGCCCAGCUAGUAUCUUUAAAGUGAUGAUUCUGAACUCUAGAUCUGACAUCAUACUAAUGUCCGUAUUGAGUAGGUCCCUGGCAGUCGGUACUACCUCUUGUUCUUUUUGUUGAGGUGAUUUCUUUUUUUUUUUUUUAAGAUUUUAUUUAUUUGAGAGAGAGAGAGCAAGUGCAUGAGCAGGGGGAGGGGCAGAGGGAGAAGCAGGCUUCCCGCGGAGCAGGGAGCCGGAUGUGGGGCUCGAUCCCAGGACCCUGGGACCAUGACCUGAGCCGAAGGCAGACGCUUAACGACUGAGCCACCCAGGCGCCCCUGUUGAGGUGAUUUCUUCCAUCUUGUCAUUUUGCCCAGAGGAGAAUAGACUAAUGAGAGAACAAAAUGCUAACAGGGUAGCAAGGUCCUCAGAAAAUAUACUCUAAACAAAUCAGAAAAGACCUGAAGCAGUGGGAAAAGAAAGGGAAAGAGAGAAAAAAGAAGAAGAAAGAAAGAAAAAAAUAAAGAUAAAAACAAACAAAAGCAGAACAAAAGAAAAAAACAGAAUAUGAUCAAAUAUGAUCAGGCUGGUAUAUAGAUCAGUGCCACACACUAGAUUUUGGGUGUAUUUUGGUCUGUUAGAAGAAAGUGCCUCCCAAAAUUUUAAAGAAAGAAAAACUUAUAUAUGUACAAAAAUAAGGGUUGAUAUGAUGAAGGGAUGGAAUAUGACUGUAAAGAUGGAAAUUAUAAAAAAUUUUAUAAAAGGAAUUGAUAAGAAGUUGUUUGAAUAAAGAAAGAAGAGGAUUUAAAAAAAAAAAGAAAAAGGAGGGAAUGUGAUCAGGAAGGGGAGUAGAAAAAAACCAUACACUAGAGAUUUAGGGUAUAUUUUGAUCUGUUAGAAGAAACUAUCUCAAAAUUUUAAAGAGAGAACAACUUAUAUAUAUAUAUAUGCCAAAAAUACAGGUAACUACUAUGAAGGGAUAGAAUAUGACUCUAAAAAUGAAAAAUAAAAAUGUUUUUUAAAAAAGGGAUUGAUAAGAUGUUGGUUGAAAAAGGGAAAAAGAAAAAUUCAAAAAAAGAAAAAAAGAAAAAGAAAAUUAAAAAAAUUAACUUUGAAAGACUACAGAAUCAUGGUAAAAAAGCCAUGGAUUCUAUGUGCAGUAGUCCCCUAGCGCUGGAGUUCUGCCGUUCUCAUUGAUCGGUAGACUUGGUCUUGGCCGGCUGUUCUCGCUGAUCUUCUGGGGAGGGGCCUGUUGCCGUGGUUUCCAAAUGUCUCUGCCGGAGGCGGAAGUGCCCCGCCCUUGCCCCCUCCCGGCUAAGUAAUCUGCUCGGGUUUGCUCUCCGGGGCUUUUGUUCCCUGCGAGCUUUCCGUACAGCUUUGGAGGCGGAGAGUGAGAAUGGCGGCCUCCCAAUCUCCGCUCCGGAGGAGCCGAGAACUCGGGGCCCCGCUCCUCAGUGCGCCCCCAGAGAAAAGCCGUCAGUCACUCCCAUCUCCCCGGUGUCUGGCCACACUCUGUGCUCACCCGGCCUGCGACCGUGCGUUUCUAUCUCUGGCACCCGACCCCGGGUGGAGUCUCCAAACCCAGCCGAUCCCUGCGGUGCCCUCCCGCGCGGCUCCUCUCGGGGCAGGAAGGUGAGUCUCCCCGGAUCUGCCGCUUGUGGGGUCCCUGCUGGAGGAGCAGGGGCCCGACCGUGCCGCGGAUCACGGUUCAUGGCCACCCCGAGCUGAGAGCCCGCGCCUGGGCUCCGUCUCUGCAGCCGGCUUCCCUGCUCCGUUACCUGGGAGCUCUGCCGCCCUCAGGCACCCCCGGUCUUUCUGUGACCCUGAGGGUCCUGAGACCACACUGUCCCAGAGGGUUCCACCCCCGCUUAGCCACCAGAGUGACGUCCCUCGGCGGAGCAGACUUUUAAAAGUUCCGAUUUUGUGCUCCGCGGCUCUAUCACUUGCCAGAAGUGGCCAAUGGAGGCCCCUCCCCUGCCGUCUAUCCUCCCGAAUAUCGCCUCGGAUUCACUUCUCCGCACGUCCUACCUUCCAGAAAGUGGUCGCUUUUCUGUUCAGAGAGUUGUUGCUCUUCUUUUCUUCGAUCUUCUGUUGAGUUUGUAGGUGUUCAGAAUGGUUUGAUCCCUAUCCAGCUGAAUUCCUGAGACCAGACGAAAUCCAGGUCUCCUACUCCUCCGCCAUCUUGCUCUGCCCCCCCUCUUUACCACUUUUUCUUAUAUUAAGCAUAUAAUAAUCAAGCUUUUUUUUGCACAGCCUAUUCUCACUAUAUACCAAAUAAUUGAGAUAGCAAGCCAGCAGCACAUUGUCUAAGAAGAGUAAGAGCACUGAACUGAGAAUCAAGCUUAGAUUUUGGUCCUGGCUCAGUGCCAUAGGGGCAAAGUAUUUACUGUCUUUGGGCUUCAUUUUCUUCACAUGUGCAAUGAAUAUUUUAAGUUAGAUAAUUUCAAAAUUCCCUUGCAGAAUUAAUUUCCUCCAGGAACGAUGAUGAAAUGUCGAUGAAAACUGAGAGAAUCCGUUGCCAGCAGACCUGUUCCAACAGAAACAUGAAAAGCAAGUUUUUUCAGAUGAAUGGCAAAUACUACCAGAGGGAAACUUAGAACAUCAAGAGUGAAGGAAGAGUAACAGAAAUGAAGCAAAGAUGGAAAGUGGAAAAGAUGAUUAAUCAUUUUGGAAGGAGGUAGAUGACUAUAGCCCAUCUCUGUGCUGACCUGGUCAUGCAGUCUUCUCUCUGGGUCAAAGUCCCACACAUCACAAGCUUCUACUGUGUUCUCCUGAUGGUUCACGCAUUGUCUGCUAAAGAAGUACGGAGUCCCACGUGGAGGGAGAUCCAGAGCUGGCGAAGGAAGGAGGAUAGCAGAGCACACCUGAGAACUUUGCGAGGUCAUGGCUUGGGAAAUGCAACUUACAGUGAUUGGCCUAGCCUAUGAGUUUGCAGCAAGGGGAGAUAAGCUCAUGGCACCAUCAGAAGAAAGAUUCCAAUGCUAACAUCAGUCCGUUGCCGUGGAAGCUGACCCAGAAUGAACUGCUGCUUCCUUUUUCACCACCAUCUCUUCUGGAAAUUAUUAAGAGAUAGAUGCCAGAGACCAGAAUUUGAGAAAAUGCCAGGAGUUUGUCCGAUCUGGCUCUUUAGAGAUGCAAAUGUGCAAAAGGAAUUAUGAACACUGUGGAUGGAAUCAUAAUGUUUUAUCUUGUCAUCUCUACAUCAAGGCUUAAUUGGGUCUUGCUUAAAAAAAAAAAAAGAAAAUGGGUGUUCUGUUUGUCAAGAGGAGAGGAGACCUCUAGAUCUUUUACUUCUGAUAAUUCAAGUCCAGACUCAAUAAAUUAGUUCAUUUAUAAAGGAUUCCUUUUCUCCAUGCCAACGUGUAGAUAGUCCUCUACUUACAAUGGGUCAACUUCAUGAUUUUUUGACUUUACAAUGGCAUAAAAGCAGAAUACAUUCAGUAGAAACUGUACUUCAAAUUUUAAAUUUUGAUCUUUUCCCAGGCUAGUGAUAAGUGGUACAAAAGUGAUCUCAGGUUUUUUCCUUUGGCUCUUUUAUAGAGUGGUGCCUAAUACAGGCUGAAUUGUGUCCUCCCCAUUCACAAAAUUCAAAUGUUGAAGUCCUAAUCUCCAGAAGCUCAGAAUGUGACCUUAUUUAGAAAUAGGGUCAUUGCAGAUAUAGUUACUUAGGAUGAAGUCAUAUUGGAGUGGGGCCCACACACAGGGAGAAGGCCAUGUGAACAUGAAGGCAGAGAUCAGGGUGAUCCACAGAAGUAAAGAAUUGGCAAAAAUCUCCAGCAGGCCACCAGAGGCUAAGAGAGAGGUAUGGAAUGGAUUCUCCUUCCCUGCCCCCAGAAGGAACCAACCCUGCCAACCUUGAUCUUAGUCUUUUGGCUUCCAGAACUGUGAAAGGAUACAUUUCUUUUAUUCUAAGCCACCUGGUGUUUGGUGCUUUGUUAUGGCAACCCCAGGAAACUAAUACAGACCUAAAUUUACUUUCUUAGAAAGUAGUUGAUUUUUCAGGUACGGGUGGCUGAACCAGAGGAAUCAGCUUUGAGGCCAGGUCAUUGGAGACAAGUGAGACUUACAACUUGAUUUAAUUAAAAGCAAACUUUUAUUCAACACUUGCUCUGUCAAGUGCUGGACUGGAUGCUCAAAGGGGCUAUAAAGGUAACACACAGAUCACUUCCUUAAGGAACAGUCUAAGAAGGGAUAGGAAAACAUGAGAAAAGCAGAUAUGGUUACAUGAAAGAGUCCUGUAAUAUAGGCCCAAAUGCUGCUGGACUUAAGCAGAUCAAAUUAUGUUGGGAAGAUUAAGACAAGUUUUGUUUUGUUUUUUAAAAGAGGUCAUAUUUGAUCUAGUCCUUAAACAUUGGUAAAAUUUUGACAGGUAGAAAUUGUUGGGAGAAGAAGGGGAGAAAGUAGUGGGAGAAAAUUUCAAAGUUGUUUUAUUCUGUUGUGAACCUGAAUGGUGGGGAUUUGAAAAUAUGAUGUUAAUGAAGUCCCAUUUAUGGCACAAAAUUUGGAAUUAUUCUUACUCCCCAAAUUACAAACACAGCUUGUUGUAUAACUUCUAAAUGGGUAGGGCUGAAUGGAUAGUAAACUGUGUUCAAAUUAUUAGUAAAUGUUGAGGCCUCUUUUGCCGGUAAAGCCAAUUACUCACUCUUCCAUGUCAUUACUGUAAUUAUUCCAGAAACCAAUCUGUUGUUUGUACGGUUUGGAAAUUCUAU
Long non-coding RNA from Mirounga angustirostris (Northern elephant seal), 4726 nucleotides. RefSeq lists it as uncharacterized. The record is from RefSeq and is a predicted model, not a curated record. NCBI's taxonomy places the organism in Eukaryota, Metazoa, Chordata, Mammalia, Carnivora, Phocidae. The transcript is spliced from 4 exons.